Molecule: ribosomal RNA, 467 nt
Filed under: uncultured Anaerolineaceae bacterium
Lineage: Bacteria; Bacillati; Chloroflexota; Anaerolineae; Anaerolineales; Anaerolineaceae
Description: bacterial SSU rRNA
Rfam family: Bacterial small subunit ribosomal RNA
Source: RNAcentral
UCAAAGGAAUUGACGGGACCCGCACAAGCAGCGGAGCGUGUGGUUUAAUUCGAUGCUACACGAAGAACCUUACCAGGGUUUGACAUGCAAGUGGUAGGAAACUGAAAAGGGACCGACCCUUCGGGGAGCUUGCACAGGUGCUGCAUGGCUGUCGUCAGCUCGUGUCGUGAGAUGUUCGGUUAAGUCCGCUAACGAGCGCAACCCUCACUGUGUGUUAUAUGUGUCACACGGGACUGCCGGUUUUAAGCCGGAGGAAGGUGGGGAUGACGUCAAGUCAGCAUGGCCUUUAUAUCCUGGGCUACACACACGCUACAAUGGUCGGUACAGAGGGCUGCGAAGCCGCGAGGUGGAGCGAAUCCCAGAAAACCUGUCUCAGUCCGGAUUGAAGUCUGCAACUCGACUUCAUGAAGGCGGAAUCGCUAGUAACCGCGAAUCAGCAGGUCGCGGUGAAUACGUUCCCGGGCCUU